ACGGCAGUAGCUCAAUUGGGAGAGCAGCGGUCUCCAAAACCGCCGGUUGAUAGUUCGAUUCUAUUCUGCCGCGCCA
RNAcentral lists this transfer RNA (76 nucleotides) under Caudoviricetes sp. RNAcentral's name for it is "tRNA-Trp". It matches the Rfam family "tRNA". From Rfam's summary of the family: Transfer RNA (tRNA) molecules are approximately 80 nucleotides in length. Their secondary structure includes four short double-helical elements and three loops (D, anti-codon, and T loops). The record is from RNAcentral. Lineage: Duplodnaviria; Heunggongvirae; Uroviricota; Caudoviricetes.